RNAcentral lists this ribosomal RNA (207 nucleotides) under uncultured bacterium. Its description in RNAcentral is "partial 16S ribosomal RNA". It matches the Rfam family "Bacterial small subunit ribosomal RNA", at positions 568 to 774 of the family's 1533-position model. The record is from RNAcentral.
UGCGUAGGCGGCGCGGAAAGUUGGGUGUGAAAUCCCUCGGCUCAACCGAGGAACUGCGCCCAAUACUACCGUGCUUGAGGGAGAUAGAGGUGAGCGGAACUUAGGGUGGAGCGGUGAAAUGCGUUGAUAUCCUAAGGAACACCGGUGGCGAAAGCGGCUCACUGGAUCUCUUCUGACGCUGAGGCACGAAAGCUAGGGUAGCGAACG